UAACGAUUUAAAUACCUGAACAAACGUGAACUAAGGAAAAUCUUGCUAUCUAGACCAAAAAAUAAUAAUAAAAGUGAUUUGAGGUGGCUAGCGUGAAGACAGCCACCCCCAUAGCACUUUAAAAAAAAAAUGAAGGAAUCGGGUCCUAACGAUUUUAAUGCCUGAACAAAGGUGAACUAACGAAUAUCUUGCUAUCUAGACCAAAAAAAAAUGCAAAAAGUGGUUUGGAGUGGCUAGCGUGAAGACAGCCACCCC
Cydia fagiglandana is the source of this 255-nucleotide long non-coding RNA. RefSeq lists it as uncharacterized. The transcript is spliced from 2 exons. The record is from RefSeq and is a predicted model, not a curated record. Lineage: Eukaryota; Metazoa; Arthropoda; Insecta; Lepidoptera; Tortricidae.